Molecule: transfer RNA, 66 nt
Filed under: Lamellodiscus spari
Lineage: Eukaryota; Metazoa; Platyhelminthes; Monogenea; Dactylogyridea; Diplectanidae
Description: tRNA-Leu
Source: RNAcentral
UUGAGAGUGUCAGAAGUUUAUGAGUUUAUUUUAGAGGUAAAAUAUGGGUAUUAAACCCUUCUCAAG